AUGAAAAUCGAAAAAUGGUUUAUAAUGGUGAUUUUUGCGAAAACAAAGAAUUUGAAGCUUCGGAGCACUAUGAAAAAAAAAUCGCAGCGCUUUGAAUUUUUCAGAGAUUUUAGGGGACACUUUAAGGUUGAAAAAUUACCGACGAUAUCCUUCGUUUAUCCAUUUUAUCCAAAGUUAUACAAAGUUAUCCAAAUAUCCUUAAUUAUGCGAAUUUUUGAGAUCUGAAGAGCG
This is a long non-coding RNA of Cotesia glomerata, 231 nucleotides long. RefSeq lists it as uncharacterized. The record is from RefSeq and is a predicted model, not a curated record. The transcript has 3 exons. NCBI's taxonomy places the organism in Eukaryota, Metazoa, Arthropoda, Insecta, Hymenoptera, Braconidae.